This 69-nucleotide transfer RNA is filed under the name Triticum aestivum (bread wheat). It matches the Rfam family "tRNA". From Rfam's summary of the family: Transfer RNA (tRNA) molecules are approximately 80 nucleotides in length. Their secondary structure includes four short double-helical elements and three loops (D, anti-codon, and T loops). Further hydrogen bonds mediate the characteristic L-shaped molecular structure. tRNAs have two regions of fundamental functional importance: the anti-codon, which is responsible for specific mRNA codon recognition, and the 3' end, to which the tRNAs corresponding amino acid is attached (by aminoacyl-tRNA synthetases). tRNAs cope with the degeneracy of the genetic code in two manners: having more than one tRNA (with a specific anti-codon) for a particular amino acid; and 'wobble' base-pairing, i.e. permitting non-standard base-pairing at the 3rd anti-codon position. The record is from Rfam by way of RNAcentral. Lineage: Eukaryota; Viridiplantae; Streptophyta; Magnoliopsida; Poales; Poaceae.
UCCACUACUCAGUUGCCAGAGUACAAAGCUCAUAACCUUAUGGACGUGGGUUCAAGCCCCAUGGUGGAG